Molecule: long non-coding RNA, 293 nt
Filed under: Elaeis guineensis (African oil palm)
Lineage: Eukaryota; Viridiplantae; Streptophyta; Magnoliopsida; Arecales; Arecaceae
Description: long non-coding RNA (EGUI_LNC065919)
Source: RNAcentral
UUCUCCCUCUCUUCUCCCUUAAGGUUCCAACGCCCAAAGGUGUUGGACAUCCACAAUCUUGACACCCAAGAGGAGCUUGGGCAUCUCCUUUAUUUGUUGGUUUUCAAUCUUUGAUUGCUUCAUAAUCAAGGGAAGAAAAGCAAGAGAAAAAGAUCAAGAUAAGGAUCAAAAAGUUGAUCACGAUCCAGACUUCGUUCAGAUUUGCAGGAUGAUUGUUCUUAGAAAAGAAAGAUCAAUACCAAAGAGGGCUGUUUUAGACUGAUCCUGAGUGGAUAUCCAUAGAAGUUGGACAC